This 497-nucleotide ribosomal RNA is filed under the name uncultured bacterium. RNAcentral describes it as "partial 16S ribosomal RNA". It matches the Rfam family "Bacterial small subunit ribosomal RNA", at positions 28 to 507 of the family's 1533-position model. The record is from RNAcentral.
GAUGAACGCUGGCGGCGUGCCUAAUACAUGCAAGUCGAGCGAACGGACGAGAAGCUUGCUUCUCUGAUGUUAGCGGCGGACGGGUGAGUAACACGUGGAUAACCUACCUAUAAGACUGGGAUAACUUCGGGAAACCGGAGCUAAUACCGGAUAAUAUUUUGAACCGCAUGGUUCAAAAGUGAAAGACGGUCUUGCUGUCACUUAUAGAUGGAUCCGCGCUGCAUUAGCUAGUUGGUAAGGUAACGGCUUACCAAGGCAACGAUGCAUAGCCGACCUGAGAGGGGGGUGGGCCGCAGUGGAACUGAGACGCGGUCCAGGGUCCUGCGGGAGGGAGCGGUGGGGAAUGGUCCGCAAUGGGCGGAAGCCUGGCGGGGCGAGGGCGCGUGGGUGAUGAAGGUCUUCGGGUCGUGAGGCUCUGUUGUUAGGGGAGAACAGAUGUGUGGGGAACUGUGCGCAGCUUGACGGUGCCUAGUCAGAAAGAGGCGGCUAACUACGUG